UCCCUUUUUAACGACUUUUACUUUUUAAUCAGUUAAAAAAAAGUUCCUGUUUAUUAAUAUAAAGCAUUUAUGGAUUUUUUCCCUGAGCUUAAUUGUAUUGAAAAAUAUUUGAAUCCCAAAUUACCUGCCUAUCUUUGUGAAUAUUACAUAAAGUUUGCCUUUUUGAUUCUAGCGUUUAUUGCCAGUAUUGAAGUGUGACAGUUAUUUUUUCGCAUCUUAAAAAUCUACCAACUAAUUUGACAUCAAUUCUAAGCAUUUGAAUUUUUUUCAGGCCUCCAUUCGAAGUGAUGGAAGUGUGGUUGGAAAGUUUGGCCAUGCACUUCUCGAUCAAUGCGCCUCUUCCAUUUGAACUUGAAAAUGAUAUUCUCAACUAUUCAGGUCGAAGUAACAGCUCAUCUGAGUCAACUACGCCAGAAUUGCUAACUCCAGAGGUUAGGCAUUCAGCAAUCAUUCCCCCACUCCAGCCUAUCAAAGAGAAACGAGUCAGUUGUUCUUCUGAUGUUUCGGAUAUUGUCUCUGGAGCGGAAGAUUCCGUCAGCAGUAUACAGGAUUCUGUCCUGGAAAGUACAGUUGAAGCCACCGCGCCCAUCAAGAGUUCCUCCUCAUGAUAUCUUUCUCGUUUUUUUUAGGCCUGGUUUAUUUUUAUACUUUUACUUAAGUUUUUCGUUUAUUUUUUGGCAAACAAAAUUGGUAAGGUAUCCGAAGGUUUGCUCAUCAAUAUCAUACUAUCUUCACUUAUCAAAAGAUAUUCUCAUUCCUGGGGUCACCAAAGCAAAUUUUGCAAUUGCAUUAUUUAAGAGUAUUAAGUGAACUGAAUUCUCAGUUAGUCUCAGUUUUUUUUUAUUAUGGCAAUUUAGAGGAAAAUUUAUCAGCAAACACAAAAAGCUGUAGUACCUCAAAACUUGGCACGGGCAAAGCAUUUAAAAUUGUCAAAUUCAUUCAUCACAAUGAAGAUAACGGUGGAAUCUAUAGUAGUUGAAUAUGCAUGGACAGUCAUUAAUCGCUGUGAUUGCGGAGUAUGGUAGAUCCUCUUUGAUUCUUUAUUUGUGUACAACAUGGCACCAAACGAUGCCGUCCAAACUCAUCAACUCAAUUUUUCAUCAUACAUUUGUGUACAAAACAUUGCCUACCCUCCAUUAUGUAAAAUAAAAUGAAGUAAUUGAAGCUAGCGUAACCUGUUACAUGAUGUGAAUAAUUCAAACAGGUACAAAGUGUUCAAAAGGAGAAAGAUGUUAUCACCAUCUGGUUUUUUUGUAUAUUCUAAAUUCAUUGAAUUAUUUGUUCAAACAUGUUUUUAACUUCCAUCGAAAAACAAUAAUUACUUCGCUUUUUAGACUUAGUCUCGAGAGACUAUGAUGCAUUCAUCAUCUCUCUCGAAUUAAACACACAGAAAAUUAUCAUUCUCAGCCCGGUUCCUCUUUGAUUAAACUCACCUGCUGUUAAAUAUAUGAAAUCUUAAUGUUUGUGGUGAAGGAAGUUGAGUGUAUGUAAUUUUCAUCAUUCCACCGUCGAACUGAUCUUAUGAAGCAGCCAUUCCAGAUUUCCUGCUGUGCAAGUUAAACGUUUUUUAUAAGGGCACAUCAGGUGUUCAGUAUCUAUGUACUAAAAUUAUUCUUGCCUCAAAAAUUCCCUUUGGAAGUAAAAAUUAUCCCAUGUUUUAUAUUUAUAUUUCAUUUGUUCACUUGACCCGUCCAAGGUAAUCUUGCCUAAUUUUGUACAUCUCUUUUUCAUCAACUUUUUCAUUCUUAAUAGAAAUUUUCUUAUUAGAAUAGAAUCAAAGUGAUGAAAGAGUACCGUGAGAAUAAAUUCUCAGUGUCUAUUUCCAAUUUUUCUAAUGAUCUGAAAGUUUUAUUGCAAUUUUCUCAUUUUGAUUCCAUCUCCCCUCAAAAUUUUCCAGGAUAAUGCUCAAGUCCUUUAGCUGUUUUUUAAAAUGAACCUCAAAAAUUAAGCUGCGAAUACUUUCUAUUCUUGUGAUGAAAUGUACGUUCCAUUGAUAGCAAAAAUUUGGAGAAGAAUCUUAUGUAAUUAAAAAAAACCUCUGUUAUCUUGGUUCUCAUGGUUUUUGACACAAAAGUAAGAAUGUUGCCAAGAAACCUCUCAGGCACCAAGAAUCAAGACUGUCCGUUGAACCGUCCAAACUCCUGUCUGUACUGCUCACUCACAAAUUUUUGAUACUUUUCAAACUUUGCUCAAAUCCAGAGCAAUGAUCUUUUAAUUUGUUCUGUAGGAAUAACUUACGUUGCCAUCACAUUGGCCUAGUUUGGGGGAAAAAAAGCAAUAUCUGUAAUACUCGCAUUACCCAAGCUUAAAAUUAGUUGCUUGAUCUUUUUGUGUACAGUGAUGUAUUUUAAUAUUUUUCUUUGAAACUUUUGUGUAAAUUUAAUUUAAUAUUCUAAACAUUGGUACAGCAUGUUGAAUAGAUUCGGUCCUCAAGACUCGACUUUAGUUGAAGGGAGCAAACUAUUUACAGAGGAUGUCUUCUCCACUAAAGUCUCUUCAUUUUUUGACGCUUCUGUGUCUUUUAAAAUACCUGUAUCGUAGUAUCAGGGUGUCUAGCAACAGCAAAAGUUAGGGAGAGAAAAGCGCGGCCAGUGCAAAGUCCAUUGUACUUCUUUGCAUAACUUCACAAUGCUUUGAAACAGAGCCCUGCAGUGCUCUUACCUGUCAUUAGUGUCUUAAAAUUUGAGCCUCUGCCAAUCCAUAUCAUUACUCUGCACUGAGUAAUAUUUAUUUUAGAGUUUAUUUUAAUGCAGGGAACAAGGUUAGAAGGACUGUGGAAAGUGAACUAGAAGGAAAUUAAAAUUUUGCUUGACACCCUCCUGAUGUAAAAAAAUGCAUGAAAAGUGUUGUAAUUUUAUCUUGCAGCCCUGAUUCCUUUAUCAUUCGGUUUUUACAAGUCUAAUUUCCAAAUGCUCCCAAAAAACUGAGUUGCGCAAAUUGAUAAUAUAGAGUAAAAAAACGUAUACUUUAAAACCAGCCAAUUAUCAAAUUUAUGAAAUAGUACCUUGAGAAUGUAGUACAAAUGAUCGCAUGAUAGUAUCACCAAGUCGUCAAGAUGUCCAAGAUUUUAAAGUAAUAUAUUUUCUAUUUGCGUACAUUUUUACUAGCGCUAAUGUUUGAAGUGUAACGAUCAGUUACAAGCGAACUCAAUUCAUACUUCUGAUUUCUAUUUAUCAGAUCAGCUGUAAUGUAUCAAUAAGUUUACAGACUCCUCCUACUCUUUUAUUUCACAGUUAAUUGUGGUUUGACAGCAGGUUGUGACUUCCAUAAUAGUAAUCAAAUCAAAGAGCAAAAUCACUUCUGAGAAUAUCAGAACCAAUCGGAAGCACCAUUAUU
Molecule: long non-coding RNA, 3336 nt
Filed under: Bemisia tabaci
Lineage: Eukaryota; Metazoa; Arthropoda; Insecta; Hemiptera; Aleyrodidae
Description: lncRNA ENSSWEETPG004533
Source: RNAcentral